CGGCGGCGGCGGCUGCCCCUGCCCGGCGCCUCCCCGGCCUCUGCGGCGGCGGCUGCGUGACGGCGGGCGGGGCGGGGGCGGGACGGGGGCGGGGCGGCCGGGCCUUCUCGUGGCCACCGGCCGCGCUUCCUGCCGCCGCCGCCGGGCAGCGCUCCGCGAGAGGCCGCGGCCUCCACGGCGACCGGCAGCGCCGGUUCCGGCCACCCAGGGCGCCCCGCAGCCGCCGGGAAGCGGGGAACCGGCACCGCCAGCUCCGGCGGACGCUCUCCUCGCGGUCGAGAUCCGCCAGCCCGGCCCCUUUCUGCUCUUCGUCCCCGGGCCGGGGGGGCCGGUGGAGCGGGGCUCCGCGGGAAACCUGCCCCCAGCCCGCGUGAAAACCGAUUCGUGACAAGCGCAGGAAAGCGAUAAGCGGGCGGCACUUCUUGGCACUUAUUUGGAAACCGCGCGUCGGCUGGAAAGGGCUGUAUCUGCACCGAGCAACCGAUGCAUGCCACAACACAACCCGGGACCAGAGCUCCUAGUCAUCCGUGUCGGAAGCAUGGCUGGAGCGCACACAGCGCUUUGAACCCCCGCGCCCAGCUCUCCUCACCGCGGGAGCCAAGGGCAGAACCUGGUGCAGGGCCAGAGCUUGCCGGCAGUAGAGGCCAGAUACAGCCGGGGCGCUGAAUCAGAAGUUCAGAAACAGUUUAGCUCAUCUAGUAUUUUAGUAAUCCAGGCUUCCUGCUUGGAUCCAGAAGCUCAGUCUUCAGAGUUCCCUUCCCCGCUUGUUCAGGUGGAUGCUCAUUUCCUAACUGUUGUCUCUAUCAGUCCCAAGUAGACACAAUGAUGCCUCAUGAUGGAAAGUUUGUUAGGCUCCUUGUUGAAGCAUGUACUUUGCAAAACGUUAAAGAGGUGGGAUUCAGUGUCUCUUAGAUAGCCAUAGAACAGCAGGAUGUGAGAAUACAAAAUGUGUCACGCUUCAUGCCUGGCAACAGGCAAAUUUCUUGUCUGGGGUUUCAGAGGGUAAAGAAAUAUAGAACAUGAGGGAAUACUACAAAUCAAAACUGGAAAAACUGUAAUUUUGCUAGAGAAAAAUCUGAGACCUCAUAAAUAAUAGAACUAGUGUAUAAGGUCUGUGAACACUGCUUUUUAAAGAGGAGAGCUAGCCUGUUUCCAGUGUUAUGAGUGAAAUUAGAAGCACAGAAAUUAGACCAGAACCAUAUAAAUGAAGCAGUAAGUGGGGAUGCUCUGAGAACCGAGGAAUUUUCUUUGUAUUCUUCAGAGGGUGAUAGAGGGGAAAAGACUGCAGGUAACCACAGGCAGACCUUGAAAAAGUAGCUGUGGAAGCAACGGCUGAAGCAGUUGUGACCAAUAUCAAUUCCACACUAAAAUAUAAAAUAAAGCCACCGCAAUAGCAACCUCCAGAAACAAAAGAUCUUUUUCAAAUUUGGAGAGUUACUUUUAACCACAGUCAUUUUGUAGAUCCAGCUUACAAGGCAGCCCUACGAAUACUCAUGUUGUAACCAUAGCACGGGCUCAGAAAAAAGGUGAAGUUAGGGCUUUAGACGGUCUCUUGGCUCUCCCUGCUCCCGCCUGUGUGUGCCUUUCCUUUUUCCAUGUGGUCGUGCUUGUCAGACCCUGCCCUGGGCUGAUUUCACAUGCUGUUCCACAAAAAGACUAGCCUAGCAAAAAAACCUAGCAGUUUCCUGCCAGGAUAGUGAAUUGAACCUGUUCAGCUAAAAGUCAGAUGAGCAAGGAAGGAGACGGGACUGCAGGUGCUGAAGCAGGACAUAGGGGGGAAACGGGAGAAGGGGAUUUCGAUGUCCCCAUCAUCACUUUGGCUUUGCCUCCAUGUGCAUCUUCACCCAGAGGGGCAACUUCUCCAUCUGGCUUCAUGCCAAAGCUAAUGCGAUCAAAGCUCCCUGCCCUGCGCUUUCUGCUGGAGGUAAAUUACCCAACAGAGAGCCUGACUGAUGGAGCGUUGCCUCCCUACCUUGCUGUCCUCCUUAGCAUGAUCCCCACUGCCACCCCUCUUCUCAAAUAUAUACUUUUAUCGCUUCCAGGCAUCAAAAAAACUUUAUGGCAUGCAGAGACUGCAGCUUGUUUCCUACCUCUUUGCUCUGGUUCAGAAGAUUUUUGUAUGUCAAAGGAUUUGGUCCAUAGUUACUGGCAGGGCCUAGGCAGAAAUCAGAGACAGUCUGUCAGCAUUUCAAGCUGAGUUUUACAUGGCUGGAUCCCAGUCCUGGAUCAUCCCAGGGCCUGGCUCAGGGCCUGCUCUCUGACUAUUGUGACUACAGGUGCUGAUUGAGGUGGGGUGGCAGAUGGCCAAGAGGAUGUCCGGGCAGCUAUUUGCACAUGAAAACAUUUGCUUUGCACCUGCAGUAGCAUUAAUGAGGCAGCAAUCAAGCCCUCGUCUCUGCUGUUUUGAAAAUCAGUCUAACAUGGUGAUACGCACAGCAGCAUAUCAGCAUGAAGCACCUGCUUUGGCUGCUUCUGUUUUCUCCAGUGUUCAGAGCCUUCCUUCUGGGCUUUCAUCCAUGCGGUUUCUGCCUGAGCCUUUCCCCUUUACCAGCAAGAUCAAGAAGAAACCAUCUGUGCUCCAUGUCCUGCACCGUAGCUCUCCAAGCUCCAUAAUCACUCUUGAUAUGCUCAGGGUCUCCCUUGGCAAUAUCACUGGUUGCUAAUUAGUUAGGAUGCUACAUUAUAUAUAUAUGUGUAUAUAUAUAUAUAUAUCUGUGUGGGCUACAGGCUGAAGGAAAGGAGGGAGCUGAGGAUGCAGUACGUGGGCUAGAAAGAACAAACAGAGGAUGUUUAAUAUGUGUGGAGAGGAAGAUAAUUUUUAAUUACUUUCUGUAACGUGUAUCUACCAAAAGAUGGCAGCAAAUCUCCUAGGAUGGGAGCUGGCCGUGUGUCAUCUCUUCUGUUCUGCUCUGUUUUUCGUACACGCUGAGACCUGUUGAUUAUCCUGAUGAGUAGCAGAUGGACUGAAGGAUCACAGUAGAUGUUAUCAAAGGAGAAAAUCUGUGCUUGUGACUUCAGUUUAAAAGGAAUAGGCUCCAUCAACAGUAUAAGAAAUCAUGCUGUAAAUCAACAUGUUCUAAACUUCUCUCAUUUAUUUUGGCUGUCCCUGGUUUGGGUAAUGUUACAUCUUAAUUUAUUUUGCCAGGUGAAAACAGAAUACUAGAAAUCCAUGACUGCCACAAAUAAUCUGCAUACCAAGUCCAUCUGAAUGUGCAUUGCCAUCACAAGCUUUGGCUCUCGAGCUUGGAUAGACUUGAACAGGCUACAAUUGAACACUGUAGUUUGCUGGAAAAUCUGGAACUGAACCAUUCUUUGUUAUAUAAAUCUGCAUGCUAGCAAAGGAUUACUUUUAAGCUCUGUGCUGUAUCACUAAUGGAUAGAGCUGUGACCCUGGUUCUCAUACUAUUUCAUACCAUAUGAACUGAGCAUAAAUCACAGAGUUACAUUAAUGGCACAAACAGCAUUAGAUUAUAGCUCUGGGCGUCGGAUUCCCCUCUGCAGUCUGCCUUAUGCUCAUCCUGAUCUGGCAGAAUUUUACACUUGUUCUGUACAACAGCUGGCGGUGACAAGGUGCAGGGCAUGGGAGGAUCAGCCUUUCUCUAUUUCCAAGUAAGAUUCUGAUUCAAUUCCUUCAUCAAAUGGGGUCAGUGAAUACUAUUUUCAUUAAUCAGCUUUAUGUAACUACACUACACAAAAUUUUGUCAUUUUUCCCUCUGUCUCCCAAAAUAACUUAUCUAACUAAAACGAAGUUAUGGGAAGAAAUUGCCCUGCUGCUCAUUUGCAGCUCAUGAAUUUUACAUUAUUUUAAGAAGGAAGUAUAAUUCAAAUACAGCUUCAUUCAUACCCCAUGACAUGUUUGAACAGCUGAAAAACUCAUCACCCAUAGAUCCAAGAUAUAUUUGUUUGGUAGACUUUGAUUUGGCCCCUUUUAAUAACAGAAAUGUUUUCAACUUUUGAACUUGCAAGGAAUUUGUUCAUAAUCAGUCAAGAACACACUGGUGGAAUAAAUGAUCACACGAGCAAGGACA
Dromaius novaehollandiae (emu) is the source of this 4028-nucleotide long non-coding RNA. RefSeq lists it as uncharacterized. The transcript is spliced from 2 exons. Lineage: Eukaryota; Metazoa; Chordata; Aves; Casuariiformes; Dromaiidae. The record is from RefSeq and is a predicted model, not a curated record.